RNAcentral lists this ribosomal RNA (253 nucleotides) under uncultured bacterium. RNAcentral's name for it is "partial 16S ribosomal RNA". It matches the Rfam family "Bacterial small subunit ribosomal RNA", at positions 524 to 776 of the family's 1533-position model. The record is from RNAcentral.
UGCGAAGGGGGCUAGCGCUGUGCGGAAUAACUGGGCGUAAAGCGCACGUAGGCGGAUUUGUAAGUCAGGGGUGAAAUCCCGGGGCUCAACCUCGGAACUGCCUUUGAUACUGCAAGUCUAGAGUCCGGAAGAGGUGAGUGGAAUUCCUAGUGUAGAGGUGAAAUUCGUAGAUAUUAGGAAGAACUCCAGUGGCGAAGGCGGCUCACUGGUCCGGAACUGACGCUGAGGUGUGAAAGCGUGGGGAGCAAACAGG